UUUUCAAUGUCCUAAAAUGGCUGGUGUCUUUGUUUCACACAUGCAUGCAUGUAUGAUCUCCCUACUAUCUGUUAUCAGGCCUGCUGAAAGACAAUCGUAUGGUAGGGCUUCAACCAAGAAGCCAGUGACAAGCACUCAAGUUGCUUCUCAACAAGGACAAUGUUCAAAGCUAGACCGUAUGGAAGUUUUUCGACAAUUUUUUAUUAAAUAGGUACUUGAAGAUACAAGUCGAGCAGGAAA
This is a long non-coding RNA of Diospyros lotus (date-plum), 240 nucleotides long. RefSeq lists it as uncharacterized. The transcript is spliced from 3 exons. The record is from RefSeq and is a predicted model, not a curated record. NCBI's taxonomy places the organism in Eukaryota, Viridiplantae, Streptophyta, Magnoliopsida, Ericales, Ebenaceae.